GUUUUUUUAUUCCACCAAACAGGCCCUCAAACUUAAGAGUUAUUCAAAUUAGGCACAGCUUAUUUGAAGCAGGAUACAACCUCCACCACCGGGUAAACAAGGGUAGUCAAAACCAAGUGGGCCUAAAAGCAGCCACCUUCUAAAAAGCGUCAAAGCUUAUCUACUCCAACCCAUAAUUUCUAAAAUACUCCCUAACCCUUCACUCCUACUGACCCCUUUUAUAUUAUUAUAAAGAUAAUCAUGCUAGAACUAGUAACAAGAAAUUGCCCUUCUCCACAAUGUAAUUAUAAACCAAAACGGACCAUCCAUUGGUAGUUAACGUAAAUGCAAAAUCCAUAAUAACAUACAACCAGAAAACCUUAUGGCCCCCCACGUUACCCUAACACUAGAACAUUACCGGAAAGAUUAAAAGAGAAAGAAGGAACUCGGCAAAUCUUAACCCCGCCUGUUUACCAAAAACAUCGCCUCUUGAUUAAUUAUAAGAGGUCCAGCCUGCCCAGUGACAAAAUUCAACGGCCGCGGUACACUAACCGUGCGAAGGUAGCAUAAUCACUUGUUCCUUAAAUAGGGACUAGUAUCAACGGCAUCACGAGGGUUAUACUGUCUCCUCUCUCCAAUCAGUGAAACUGAUCCCCCCGUGAAGAAGCGGGGAUUUAACUAUAAGACGAGAAGACCCCAUGGAGCUUUAAACCCAACAUACACCCCCCACCCAAACACCAACUUAACUUAAAGGGCCUGUAUGUUGGCUUUAGGCUGGGGGGGCCACGGAGUAAAAUUAAACCUCCACAACAAAUGGGCUAACACCCUUAUCCAUGAUUUUACAAAUCUAAGAAUUACCAAAAUAAUGUUUAAUGACCCGAUAAUUCGAUCAAUGAACCAAGUUACCCUGGGGAUAACAGCGCAAUCUACUUCAAGAGCUCUUAUCGACAAGUAGGUUUACGACCUCGAUGUUGGAUCAGGGUAUCCUAGUGGUGCAACCGCUAC
RNAcentral lists this ribosomal RNA (984 nucleotides) under Odorrana wuchuanensis (Wuchuan odorous frog). Its description in RNAcentral is "partial 16S ribosomal RNA". It matches the Rfam family "Bacterial large subunit ribosomal RNA", at positions 945 to 2565 of the family's 2925-position model. Lineage: Eukaryota; Metazoa; Chordata; Amphibia; Anura; Ranidae. The record is from RNAcentral.